Molecule: small RNA, 143 nt
Filed under: Flavobacterium weaverense
Lineage: Bacteria; Pseudomonadati; Bacteroidota; Flavobacteriia; Flavobacteriales; Flavobacteriaceae
Description: Flavo-1 RNA
Source: RNAcentral
CUUUAGCCCAGAUUGCAGUGCAAAGCCCGGAAUUUAUAAAAGGUAAUUUUCUUGACAAAAAAGAGCGACCAGCGGAAGCUCCUUUUAUGACUUAGAAAAUACUUUUUAGAAUUGAGGACUUGCAACGUAAAGCUGGAAUAGCU